AGUCGAACGAGAUCUUCGGAUCUAGUGGCAGACGGGUGAGUAACGCGUGGGAACCUGCCCAGUAGUAGAGGACAACUUGGGGAAACUUAAGCUAAUACUUUAUACGUCCUUCGGGAGAAAGCUUUAUGCGCUAUUGGAUGGGCCCGCGUUAGAUUAGUUUGUUGGUGAGGUAAUGGCUCACCAAGACUACGAUCUAUAGCUGGUCUGAGAGGAUGAUCAGCCACACUGGGACUGAGACACGGCCCAGACUCCUACGGGAGGCAGCAGUGGGGAAUAUUGGACAAUGGGGGCAACCCUGAUCCAGCGAUGCCGCGUGAGUGAUGAAGGCCCUAGGGUUGUAAAACUCUUUCGUCAGGGAAGAUAAUGACGGUACCUGAAGAAGAAGAUCCGGCUAACUCCGUGCCAGCAGCCGCGGUAAUACGGAGGGAUCUAACGUUAUUCGGAAUUACUGGGCGUAAAAGCGAGCGUAGGCGGAUUUGUAAGUUGGAGGUGAAAUCCCAGAGCUUAACUCUGGAACUGCC
RNAcentral lists this ribosomal RNA (521 nucleotides) under uncultured marine bacterium. RNAcentral's name for it is "bacterial SSU rRNA". It matches the Rfam family "Bacterial small subunit ribosomal RNA", at positions 60 to 625 of the family's 1533-position model. The record is from RNAcentral.